CACGGAGCUGCAUGGUGACCACAAAGCGAACUAUUCUUUCGCCUUUUACUAAGAGCAUCUUCAAUAGCCGCGCUUCGCGCCGUGCUUAAAAAAUGUAUUUGCCACGCGCGCUUCGACUGGUUUAGCAUGGGGAUAGACGCUGGCUCCAACAGCUGCGCUAUAAUGCAGCGCAGCGCGCGCAGCACACACAAAUCACAUGUACAUUUUAGAAAAUAGAAGCAAAAAUGAUCAAACAAACAAAAUAAAUCAACAAUAAAUAGUCAUUACAACUCAAACAAAUAGUUUAUCGUUCGGUACAACAAAUAAUGC
Molecule: long non-coding RNA, 309 nt
Filed under: Hordeum vulgare
Lineage: Eukaryota; Viridiplantae; Streptophyta; Magnoliopsida; Poales; Poaceae
Description: long non-coding RNA (HVUL_LNC002298)
Source: RNAcentral